GCCGGGCACGGUAGCAUGUGCCUGUGGUCCCAGCUACUCAGGAGGCUGAGGCAGGAGGAUCACUUGAUCCCAGGAGUUCUGCGCUGAUCAGUUGUUCUCAUUAAGUUCAGCAUCCAUGCGGUGACCUCCUGGGAGCAGGGGACCACCAGGUUGCAAAGCAGCCCAGGUUGGAAGCAGAGCAGGUCAAAGCUCUUGUGCUGAGCAGUAGUGGGAUCACAUCUGUGAAGAGGCACUGCACUCCAGCCUGGGCAACAUAGCGAGACCUGUCUCUA
Molecule: unclassified non-coding RNA, 272 nt
Organism: Macaca fascicularis (crab-eating macaque)
Lineage: Eukaryota; Metazoa; Chordata; Mammalia; Primates; Cercopithecidae
Rfam family: Metazoan signal recognition particle RNA
About the family: The signal recognition particle (SRP) is a universally conserved ribonucleoprotein. It is involved in the co-translational targeting of proteins to membranes.
Source: Ensembl